This is an RNA transcript of Oncorhynchus kisutch (coho salmon), 2663 nucleotides long. It is a transcript of the gene named Fas ligand (TNF superfamily, member 6), with no coding region annotated. The transcript is spliced from 3 exons. NCBI's taxonomy places the organism in Eukaryota, Metazoa, Chordata, Actinopteri, Salmoniformes, Salmonidae. The record is from RefSeq and is a predicted model, not a curated record.
AUCAAGUGGUCGGUGUCCAGCAUGUCUCCUAUCCGGAGGCGGUGAGAAAAGUGGAAGAAAUGAGUGAAGUUGAAGAAAUAAUGAUAUUAGUAGUAGCUAACUGUGGCUAUGGUUUAUAGCAUUUGUGCAUGGUGUACUGGUUUGGUUUUUGCCUGUUUAGAGUUAUCUCUUGGGCUUUGAGCAUGUGCAGGUAUUGGUUAGUUAGCUGUGAGCUAGUGGCUAACUAACUUUUGCCAGUCGAUUUAUUGGUUCUGUUUGGCCUACUGAUUUUGACUAUGCGGCAUUUGAGCCAGCAGUGUGUUUUGUAGAGAUAGUUGGGUUUUUUCUCAAGCUAAUGAGGGAUUGUUAUGUCAGGUGACAGAAAUGCUGGAGGUUGAAAUAGCAGAGGAGUUUAACAAGUUAGACGUUGCAGGGAUGUUUUGGGAGAAGUGGAGUGAGUUCUUGCCGCCGGUUCUGGUGUAUAGGAGGAAGAAGUCUUGUUGGAAAUGGUGUGGCUAGAACAGGAGAUGGCACUGCUGAAACAGCAGAAUAAUUAAAGACUGCAUAUAGGACAGAAAUGUUGUGUUGCCAGUCGGUCAGACAGUCUUGUCACUAAACCAGCUUCCUGCCAGUGAUCAGUGAUGAGCUAGUUUCCUCAAAUGAUCUGGUUUGUGAAACGUCAGGUGUAUUCGGGGCCCGGAGUCUCAAGGAGAGUUUUGAGGUGAGGUAUCCCCAGUUUGUGAAAUUACUCACGUUCAGAAAAGUGCUGAUGGCAAACCAGAUGAGGAAGGAGGAGGAUUUGUGUGGGGACUUGGAGGAAACAUUCCUUGGCCGAACUAGACAGUGGUUCCUAGGAAAUGGUUCUCCCUUGUGAGGAAGGUGAUUUAAUUGUGUGUCUCUAGCUGAGACCUGGGCAGAGUUAUGAUGUAGUGUGCCCUCUGCAGGUUGAGGAUGAGGUUGCUUCAGGUGUCAAUUUGGGGACACGUUCUUUGCCAUGGUAAAGGAGAUUGGUUGUUGAUCAUUGCUGACCAUGAGGUUGUUUGGGUUUCAGGUAUUGAUUUAGCUGACACGUUUCUUACUGAGCUGUGGAAAGGAGAUACCUUCCAGUCAUGUUGUGAGGAUUUUCUGGAAGACGCAGUCUGUGUUUUGCAGGGUGACAUGGCUGUCUAGCGAUGAGAAUCAGGAGCUUGAAGAAUUGAGUUUGAUGGAAAAGCCAGAUCCACCAGUAUUGUCACUCUCAGUAGGUUGUCUGAUGAGUGAGGAGGAUAUGUUCCCUUCCAGUGAGUGCUCGGGGCUGGAGAAAAGGGCUGUUUGGGAAGAUGGAUGAUGUGAGUUGGCUGAAGUUGUGGUCGAUGUUCACUUUUCCCUGGUGGUGUUUGCUCCAAGUCUUUUAACGCUGGCUACAUAUCAGAUGGAGCUUGUUGCUUGUGACCAUGGGCCUAGUGAAGGAAGUUGGUCUCUCAAUUUAGAAGCAGAUGGGUCACAGCUGGUCCCUUUGUUUGUUCAAGUUAGACUAUUUGGCAGGAAGAAAUUUCCUGUGCAGAGCAGUGAAUUUUAUGGUUUGUCUGGUUUUCUAGAAUGUCUAUCUCAGAGUUAAGGUUUUCUGUAGUCAGUUAGUUAGGCAACACUACCAGGAUACACUUCCACACUCCAUCCCUGAGGUGGCAACACCAACCGGGUCAAAGGCUGUGCUCUGCCAGGAAGCCUUGAUAAGCACAUCAGGUGCUGUCAAUUAGGGUUCAGCAUGGCGAGCCAUGAGGCUGUUGGUUUGUUUGCUGACCAUGUUUUGGUUUUGAAAAUUUCAUUUGGGCGUGCCUGUGUGUGGUUUCUUUUUUGAAUAUAUUUAUUUCCAUCACCACCAACUGAGCAACAGUAAUCCAUUUGUGCUGGCCGACCAUGACGUCAAGAGAGGAAGAGCUGGACCACGGUUAACAUUGAGAGCCAAGGUUGUGCGCCUGAGAAGCUAGUGGGUGACCUUCCAGAGUCUGAUCCAGACACAGGGAAGAAGGCCAGCAGAUCUGCAGCACACGUCAUAGGCCGGAUCGAGAAGGAUGUUUCCCAGAAUACCUUGCGUUGGGAGCCCAAGGCAGGGCGGGCCUUCACUGAGGGAGGCGUGGUCUAUCGGGAUGGUGGUCUGCAGGUCAACGAGACUGGGCUCUACCACAUCUACUCCCGGGUGCAAUUUGAGGCCAAUCACUGCACCCCUACAGAUGCCUUGGUUCACUCUGUGUUUGUGAGGAGGCCCUGGAGCUCCAAGCCUCUCACCUUGAUAGAGGCGCACAGGGAGGGCUACUGCAGCUCGGGCUCUAAUGGGCGUGUCUGGACCUCUGGGAGUUACCUGGGCUCCACAUUGCAGCUGGAGAAGCAGGACUGGGUCUAUGUGAACGUCUCCCACCCAUCCAUGCUCAGCCACACUCAUCAUGCCAACUUCUUUGGACUCCACAAGAUCUAGCGAAAAAGGAUUAAAUCUGGAGUUGGUUUCAACUGAUAUUUCACUCAGAGAACCUUAACACUAAAAUGAUGGAGAAAAAAGUAGUAUUUAUUAUGAUAAAGAUCUGACACUGAUUCCAGCUGCAGGUCUGAAUGUAUGUUCAUUAGAACACAAAAAUGUGCAUGUUUGGGAUUUAUAUCCGUCAACAGUGAUCCAGUUUUUUAUAUUCUAAUAAAUGUAUUUAAAAAAUAAA